Molecule: long non-coding RNA, 645 nt
Filed under: Pongo abelii (Sumatran orangutan)
Lineage: Eukaryota; Metazoa; Chordata; Mammalia; Primates; Hominidae
Description: lincRNA
Source: RNAcentral
CACUCAGCUUUCUGAAAUGGUGUCCCACCACAAGGACUGGAGAAGGGCUGGAGUCCAAUGGUGGGAUGUCUGCCUACUGCAACCUCUGCCUCCCAGGUUCAAGCGAUUCUCCUGUCUCAGCCUCCCGAGGAGAUGGGACUACAGGCACCCUUGGAAAUGCAAUGCUAUAUCUCAAUGGGAUUUUCCAGUACAGAGAUUCUUUUCAAUAACAUAAUUGUGGAUACACACCACUCCUGUAGUGGUAAACCUCAGGUUCUCCUCCUGCCUUUUGCUAAGUAUAUGUCUUGAUGACAAGCCUUCUGCUAAUGAGCUGUGUUUCUGGACCGAUCAUGGUAGAAGUCAAUUGAAGUGUCCCUCACUUGGGGUUUCUUAAGGCUGCACUGAUGAGGAAACUGAAACAGAAAAUCCAGAGUAAAUUCCACCAGGCCACACAGCAAGGUCUGAUAGAGCCAGGAGAGACUUUAUGAAAUCCAGACUCUCACACUAAUGCUCUAUCAGCUAGACCUCCAUGUGAGUCUCCCCAAUGUAGGUAGGAAGCACUUUCCCUAAAAUGCUCAUAAAGCAAAUCAGAGCAAUGCUUCAUUUCAUGUGAUUUCUAAUUUGAAAUGCAAACAAUUGCCAAUUUGUUUGACUUGUAUUUAUAAU